UCAAGUAAUUAAGUGCAUGUGGUGGAUGCCUUGGCAGUCAGAGGCGAUGAAAGACGUGAUAGCCUGCGAAAAGCUCCGGGAGGCGGCAAAUAUCCUUUGAUCCGGAGAUGUCUGAAUGGGGAACCCACCUACUUUAAGGUAGGUAUUGCAACAUGAAUACAUAGUGUUGCAAGGCGAACGAGGGGAAGUGAAACAUCUCAGUACCCUUAGGAAAAGAAAUCAAUUGAGAUUCCCUCAGUAGCGGCGAGCGAACGGGGAUCAGCCCAUUAAGUUAUGUGUGUUUUAGUGGAACGCUCUGGGAAGUGCGAACGUAGAGGGUGAUAUUCCCGUACACGAAAGGGCACACAUAAUGAUGACGAGUAGGGCGAGGCACGUGAAACCUUGUCUGAAUAUGGGGGGACCAUCCUCCAAGGCUAAAUACUCCUGACUGACCGAUAGUGAACCAGUACCGUGAGGGAAAGGCGAAAAGAACCCCUGUGAGGGAGUGAAAUAGAUCCUGAAACCGCAUGCAUACAAGCAGUGGGAGCACCUUCGUGGUGUGACUGCGUACCUUUGUAUAAUGGGUCAGCGACUUAUAUUCAGUAGCGAGGUUAACCGUAUAGGGGAGCCGUAGAGAAAUCGAGUCUUAAUAGGGCGUUUAGUUGCUGGGUAUAGACCCGAAACCAGGCGAUCUAUCCAUGAGCAGGUUGAAGGUUGGGUAACACUAACUGGAGGACCGAACCCACUGUCGUUGAAAAGCCAGGGGAUGACUUGUGGAUAGGGGUGAAAGGCUAAUCAAGCCUGGUGAUAGCUGGUUCUCCCCGAAAGCUAUUUAGGUAGCGCCUCGGACGAAUACCAUAGGGGGUAGAGCACUGUUUCGGCUAGGGGGUCAUCCCGACUUACCAAACCGAUGCAAACUCCGAAUACCUAUGAGUACUAUCCGGGAGACAGACUGCGGGUGCUAACGUCCGUAGUCAAGAGGAAAACAAUCCAGACCGCCAGCUAAGGCCCCAAAAUCAUAGUUAAGUGGGAAACGAUGUGGGAAGGCAUAGACAGCUAGGAGGUUGGCUUAGAAGCAGCCACCCUUUAAAGAAAGCGUAAUAGCUCACUAGUCGAGUCGGCCUGCGCGGAAGAUGUAACGGGCUAAAACUAUGUGCCGAAGCUGCGGAUGUAUACUUUGUAUACGUGGUAGGGAGCGUUCUGUAAGCCGAUGAAGGUGUGUUGAGAAGCAUGCUGGAGGUAUCAGAAGUGCGAAUGCUGACGUGAGUAACGACAAAACGGGUGAAAAACCCGUUCGCCGAAAGACCAAGGGUUCCAGUCCAACGUUAAUCGGGGCUGGGUGAGUCGACCCCUAAGGCGAGGCCGAAAGGCGUAGUCGAUGGGAAAAUGGUUAAUAUUCCAUUACUUCUGUGUAAUGCGAUGAGAGGACGGAGAAGGCUAAAUCAGCCUGGCGUUGGUUGUCCAGGUGAAAGGAUGUAGGCAUGUAUCUUAGGCAAAUCCGGGGUACUCUAUGCUGAGAUCUGAUAGCAAGCUGUACUUGUACAGCGAAGUGGUUGAUGCCAUGCUUCCAGGAAAAGUCUCUAAGCUUCAGUUACACAGGAAUCGUACCCGAAACCGACACAGGUGGUCAGGUCGAGUAGACCAAGGCGCUUGAGAGAACUCUGCUGAAGGAACUAGGCAAAAUGGUACCGUAACUUCGGGAGAAGGUACGCUGUUGUUGGUGAUGGAACUCGCUUCCUGAGCUGACGACAGCCGCAGAAACCAGGCCGCUGCAACUGUUUAUUAAAAACAUAGCACUCUGCAAACACGAAAGUGGACGUAUAGGGUGUGAUGCCUGCCCGGUGCUGGAAGGUUAAUUGAUGGGGUUAGCGUAAGCGAAGCUCUUGAUCGAAGCCCCAGUAAACGGCGGCCGUAACUAUAACGGUCCUAAGGUAGCGAAAUUCCUUGUCGGGUAAGUUCCGACCUGCACGAAUGGCAUAAUGAUGGCGGCGCUGUCUCCAGCAGAGGCUCAGUGAAAUCGAAAUCGCUGUGAAGAUGCAGUGUACCCGCGGCUAGACGGAAAGACCCCGUGAACCUUUACUGCAGCUUGACACUGAACUUUGACCUUACUUGUGUAGGAUAGGUGGGAGGCUUUGAAGCUGGAACGCUAGUUCCAGUGGAGCCGUCCUGAAAUACCACCCUGGUAAUGUUGAGGUUCUAACUCUGUCCCGUGAUCCGGGACGAGGACCGUGUCUGGUGGGUAGUUUGACUGGGGCGGUCUCCUCUAAAGAGUAACGGAGGAGUACGAAGGUGCGCUCAGCGUGGUCGGAAAUCACGCGUAGAGUAUAAAGGCAAAAGCGCGCUUAACUGCGAGACCCACAAGUCGAGCAGGUACGAAAGUAGGUCUUAGUGAUCCGGUGGUUCUGUAUGGAAGGGCCAUCGCUCAACGGAUAAAAGGUACUCUGGGGAUAACAGGCUGAUACCGCCCAAGAGUUCAUAUCGACGGCGGUGUUUGGCACCUCGAUGUCGGCUCAUCUCAUCCUGGGGCUGAAGCAGGUCCCAAGGGUAUGGCUGUUCGCCAUUUAAAGAGGUACGCGAGCUGGGUUUAGAACGUCGUGAGACAGUUCGGUCCCUAUCUACCGUGGGCGCUGGAAAUUUGAGAGGAUCUGCUCCUAGUACGAGAGGACCAGAGUGGACGAACCUCUGGUGUACCGGUUGUGACGCCAGUCGCAUCGCCGGGUAGCUAUGUUCGGAAGGGAUAACCGCUGAAAGCAUCUAAGCGGGAAGCCUACCUCAAGAUAAGAUUUCCCUAGGACUUUAUGUCCUCUAAAGAGCCGUUCGAGACUAGGACGUUGAUAGGUUGGAUGUGGAAGCAUAGUGAUAUGUGAAGCUGACCAAUACUAAUUGCUCGUGAGGCUUGACUA
RNAcentral lists this ribosomal RNA (2882 nucleotides) under Acinetobacter baumannii. Its description in RNAcentral is "bacterial LSU rRNA". It matches the Rfam family "Bacterial large subunit ribosomal RNA". Lineage: Bacteria; Pseudomonadati; Pseudomonadota; Gammaproteobacteria; Moraxellales; Moraxellaceae. The record is from RNAcentral.